Molecule: ribosomal RNA, 549 nt
Filed under: uncultured bacterium
Lineage: Bacteria
Description: bacterial SSU rRNA
Rfam family: Bacterial small subunit ribosomal RNA
Source: RNAcentral
UGGGGAAUUUUGGACAAUGGGCGCAAGCCUGAUCCAGCCAUGCCGCGUGUCUGAAGAAGGCCCUCGGGUUGUAAAGGACUUUUGUCAGGGAAGAAAAGGCUGUCGCUAAUACCGACAGUUGAUGACGGUACCUGAAGAAUAAGCACCGGCUAACUACGUGCCAGCAGCCGCGGUAAUACGUAGGGUGCGAGCGUUAAUCGGAAUUACUGGGCGUAAAGCGAGCGCAGACGGUUACUUAAGCAGGAUGUGAAAUCCCCGGGCUCAACCUGGGAACUGCGUUCUGAACUGGGUGACUAGAGUGUGUCAGAGGGAGGUAGAAUUCCACGUGUAGCAGUGAAAUGCGUAGAGAUGUGGAGGAAUACCGAUGGCGAAGGCAGCCUCCUGGGAUAACACUGACGUUCAUGCUCGAAAGCGUGGGUAGCAAACAGGAUUAGAUACCCUGGUAGUCCACGCCCUAAACGAUGUCAAUUAGCUGUUGGGCAACUUGAUUGCUUAGUAGCGUAGCUAACGCGUGAAAUUGACCGCCUGGGGAGUACGGUCGCAAGAUUA